GGGUGAGUAACACGUGGAUAACCUACCUAUAAGACUGGGAUAACUUCGGGAAACCGGAGCUAAUACCGGAUAAUAUUUUGAACCGCAUGGUUCAAAAGUGAAAGACGGUCUUGCUGUCACUUAUAGAUGGAUCCGCGCUGCAUUAGCUAAUUGGUAAGGUAACGGCUUACCAAGGCAACGAUGCAUAGCCGACCUGAGAGGGUGAUCGGCCACACUGGAACUGAGACACGGUCCAG
This 236-nucleotide ribosomal RNA is filed under the name uncultured Staphylococcus sp. RNAcentral describes it as "partial 16S ribosomal RNA". It matches the Rfam family "Bacterial small subunit ribosomal RNA", at positions 104 to 334 of the family's 1533-position model. Lineage: Bacteria; Bacillati; Bacillota; Bacilli; Caryophanales; Staphylococcaceae. The record is from RNAcentral.